Molecule: non-coding RNA, 9218 nt
Organism: Oryctolagus cuniculus (rabbit)
Lineage: Eukaryota; Metazoa; Chordata; Mammalia; Lagomorpha; Leporidae
Source: RefSeq, a predicted model, not a curated record
GACAGUUAUAUAGAUAAUGAGAGAGACAAAGAGAAAGGUCUUCCUUCCGUUGGUUCACUCCCCAAAUGGCCGCUACGGCCCGCACUGCACCGCUCCGAAGCCAGGAGCCAGGUACUUCUUCCCGGUCUCCCAUGUGGGUGUAGGGCCCCAAGCACUUGGGCCUUCCUCCACUGCCCUCCUGGGCCACAGCAGAGAGCUGGACUGGAAGAGGAGCAACCGGGACUAGAACCCAGUGCCUAUAUGGGAUGCUGGUGCCACAGGUGGAGGAUUAACCAAGUGAGCCAUGGCGCCGGCCCUCUCUCCCCUAUUUCUAACAUUCCUCUACCCAUUAUCUAAUAUUUAUCUCAAAUGUAAUUUAUUAAAAUUCUGAAGACUGUCUCUAUUAUGCAUACCACUAGUGUUACUUGCUGCUUUUCUCUGUACUGUAGCACUUUGUAUAUAUCUAUAUUAUUAUACCACAAUUUUUCUAAGAUUUAUUUAUUUGAAAGGCAGAGUUAGAGCUUCCAUCUGCUGGUUCAGUCUGCAAAUAGCCACAACAGCCGGAUCUGGGCCAAUCUGAAGCUAGGAGUUUCUUCCAGGUUUCACAUGUGGGUGCAGGAGUCCAGGCACUUAGGCCAUCCUCCAGUGCUUUCCAGGUGCAUUAGCAGGGAGAUGGAUUGAAGUGGAGCUGCCCGGACUCAAACUGGUGCCCAUAUAGAAUGCCAACUCUACAGACAGUGGCUUAACAUGCUACGCCACAGUACCAGCCCCAUACCGUAAUUUUCUACAUGCUCAACUUUUUCUUCAAAUAUAUUACGGUUGAAGUUUGUUCUCUGCUUGUUAGGGUCUAUUUUAAGGGCUGAAUUAAGAAAAUAUAAAGAAUUUAGGAAGAAUGUUUAAAACCACAGAAUUUGAUAGGCGUUAGCUGUUUUAAGAACAAUGUCUAAUAUUAGGGUCUGGCUGUCCUAUUAUCUAAGAUAGUUACUAGGAAAAGCAACUGGUGGUAUGAAAUGGAAUAAACCACAUUCCCAUUUGAACUUGAAAAAAAAUUUUUUUUUAACAGGCAGAGUGGAUGGUGUUAGAGAAAGAGACAGAGAGAAAGGUCUUUCUUUUGCCUUUGGUUCACCCUCCAAUGGCCACCGCAGCCGGCGCGCUGCGACCAGCGCACCGCGCUGAUCCGAAGGCAGGAGCCAGGUGCUACUUCCAGGUCUCCCAUGUGGGUGCAGGACCCAAGCACUUGGGCCAUCCUCCACUGCACUCCCGGGCCACAGCAGAGAGCUGGCCUGGAAGAGGGGCAACCGGGACAGAAUCCGGCGCCCCGACCGGGACUAGAACCCAGUGUGCCAGCGCCGUAAGGUGGAGGAUUAGCCUAUUGAGCCAAGGCGCCAGGAACUUGAAAAUUUUAAUGGUAGAACUUUCAGGGUCCUGUGCUGUGGUGCAGCAGGUUAAUCCUCUCCCUGCAGCGCCAGCAUCCCAUAUGGGCACCAGUUCUAGUCCCGGCUGCUCCCCUUCUGAGCCAGCUCUCUGCUAUGGCCUGGGAAAGCAGUGCAAGAUGGCCCAAGCGGUUGGGCCCCUGCCCCGGCGUGGGAGACCCAGAAGAAACUUCUGGCUCCUGGCUUCAGAAUGGCCCGACUCCAACCAUAGCAGCCAUUUGGGGAUGAACCAGUGGAUGGAAGACCUUUCUCUCUGUCUCUCCCCCUCACUGUCUGUAACUCUAACUCUCAAAUAAAUAAAUAAAAUCUUUUUUAAAAAAUAGAAUAUUCUUACACUGCAACUAAAGAAUAGAAUUUUGAAGAAUGAGAGCUAGAUAUAUAGGUCUGGACCCUUAGUAUUUAGAGUAUGCUAGGUGAAGCAUAGGAAAAGGUAACUCUUAGGGAAUAUGUGGAGUAAAGAGAAACUUGGAAACAGCAUUUCAGGGUUUGGGAGAGGAAAAAAUAAAAAAGAAAACUUUACAAGGACCAGAAUCCAAAGAGCUGAGAAAGGAAAGUAUCCAAAAGGAUGUGAAGUUUACUUCUGUUGUAGCCCAAGUAGUUUUUUUUUUAACCAUCUAUGAAAGUACUUCAAACAGUUAAUGGAAAAAUGGAAUUAAAAGAUAAGUGUCUUGGUGCAAAAAAGUUUGAAAUACAUGGAUAGUUUUUCCAUUUUUUUGUUUUGUUUUUGUGAGUUUUUUGGUAAUACACAUUUUACAUGAACUCUUUGAAGACCCUUUUAUACUUAACCUUUUUGAAUCUAUCUUUUACACUUGGAGCUGAGUCUUUUUUCUUUAUUAUUUCUUUCAUGCUAUAAGACAUUUUUUAAAAAUUUAUAUACAGGGAAGGGGCUGAGUUCUUGGAGGCCAGAAGAUCACAAAACUGUUAAAGGCUUUUAUAUUGUCACUAGAAAAAUACUCCCUUACUCAAGGCGUAAUCUGAGCUCUGCUGAAACCCACAACAGUGCUUAUGUCCACUGCAGCUUGGACCUGUCCACACCUUCCUUCUUCAAUAAGUGCUGUGCUGUGCUGUUUGGAGCCCAGAAUAUAACAUGCCAAAACUGUUAAUCCCUCCCCCAUAUUUGCUGAUUGAAAUACUAUCUGCUCUUCAGAAGUUUCUCACAGCCUUUCCCCUCCAGGACAACUUUCUUAAUUCUUGUAGGUGGGAAUGUUGUUCAUCUUAUAUCUCAUUCAGUACCUUUUCCAGACAGUGCCCAGAACAGAUUCUUGUUAAAUCCAAUUGAGUUACUUUGGCUCUGGCUCAGUUUCUAUAAAGACAUAUAGAAAAAUGGAUUUACAAUUUCCAUUUUUAAAAAGAACAUACAGGAAUCAUAGUCUCAUGCUAGUUAGACACAUAAGAGAAACUGUACUUUUAAAUACAUUCAGAACUUUCAGGUGUACAUAACUUACAAAUCAGAAUAUAUUAACCUUUUAAAAAUAUUAAUACUAGUUCAACUUAUGUAUUAAACCUACAUUGGCCGGCGCCACAGCUCACUAGGCUAAUCCUCUGCCUGCGGCACCAGCACCCGGGUUCUAGUCCCGGUUGGGGCGCCAGCUUCUGUCCCGCUUGCUCUUCUUCCAGUCCAGCUCUCUGCUGUGGCCCGGGAGUGCAGUGGAGGAUGGCCCAGGUCCUUGGGCCCUGUGCCCGUAUAGGAGACCUGGAGGAGGCUCCUGGCUCCUGGCUUCGGAUCUCAAUGCGGCCACUUUGGGGGGUGAACCAACAGAAAAAGGAAGACCUCUCUGUCUCUCUCUCACUGUCUAACUCUGCCUGUCAGAAAAAAAAAAAAAACACCCUACAUGUACAUUUUUCUUUUGGGGACUUCUACAUUUAAAUAUCUGAAUGUAUAUUGCUGCUUCAAGAUUAUAUACUCUUAAUAACUUCAAGAGUUUAAGUCAUUGAUCUUGUUGCUUCUCUUAUUUGAUCUUUGAAAUUUUUGGAAAUAUGAAUGUGGUGCUCAGUGAGGAUAAAGCUUAUAUGAAAGUCUUAAUAUUUAAAAUAAUCUAUUUUAAUCGGACUCUGUUUUCCUGGGUCUAAAAUGAACUUUCUCUUAAAUUUCAUUAUUAAUAACACAACUGCCUGCAUUUUCUUUUCAAGCGUUCAUACUAUAAUGCCCUCUGCUAGGAAAUCGGUCUAAGGAAAUAAUCCAAAGUAUGGGAAAGACAGCUGUGCACACCCUCAAUCACACUGUUUUUAAAGAACAAGCAGAUAGAAAUACUUGGAAUGCCCAAAACGUAAGACAGUCUUAAAAAUAACUAACAAAUACUUGAGUGUGUAACAUGUCCCAGACCCUGUGGUAGGCACUAGUCAAAAGACCAAAGUACAUCCUCAGGAUGUAUUAUCAUGAAGCCAUGUUGUUUAUUCAUACAGGAAAAUACUCAUGAUAACUACUAAAAAGACAACUGUACAUGCAUGCAUAUUGCUAUAUAAAACAGUGCAAAACCUACAAACAGAAGAAACUGGAAUAGGGCGUACCAAAAUGGUGCAGUGAUUUUGUCUAAUUUCCUCUUUAAAAUAUUAAGGAUAAUAUAAUUUAGAACAAAAAUGCAUCAAACUUCAGAAAAUAAAGGUAAAUAAUGUUCCUAAUUUCCCUUGUAAUUUCCCCUCAGAAUGUUUCCUUGUAUUUUUAUUCGAAAUAUGUUCUAUUUUUAAAAAGACACUUGGUUGAUCUCUUAAAUUACAUCUGGACAGAUGUUUUGUUUUCACGCUUAGAAAAGUAGAUUGUUUUAUUUUAUUUUUGUCUAACUGAAUUAAAGACCAACAAGAUCUCAAACCUUAGUGAGGAAAUUUUCAUUUGUUAGAAAGAAAAAAAAAAAAAAAGCUUUCUUCUUAGCAUGGUUGGCCAGGAAGGUUGGAUUUAAUUUAAAAUGAUUAAUGAGAUUUUGUCAGGCUCCUUGACUUGACCACCACUGCAGUUUGUCAGUGCAACAACCUGGGAAGCCGGGACGCCGCGCUGUCGCCCAAAUCCACUCUCCAGGGAAAAAAUUAACUGGGAGGACUAGAGCCAGGUACACGUCAGUGGCAUUGUCUCAAUAUUGACAGUUUAAAAGUCCAAAUAAGAAAUAUAAAUGUUUAGGGACACAUCCCUAAGAUAGUGUUUUCAGUUUCUUUGUAAGGAGUUAAUCACUUUUAAAAUAUUGAAGUUGUUAACCUUUUCCAAAGGAAACUAUUUGAAGACAAAUCUUUACUAAUGAUCCUCCCUCCUCUAAUUUGUUUGAAAAAUUAAAAUAAACAAAGAAUUUAGGAUCUCAGGUUACUUCUUUCUUUUUUAAAAGAACUAAAAUGAAGUAUUUUUAAAGAGUAAUUUUUCACCCUUGAAAACUUUUCGACAAAAGCAUGGCAUAAUUUUGUAAACAAAUUUAAAACCUAUUCAAAGUUAGCUAAAAACAAUUUACUGAAAGUAUCUGGUUAUUAGGUGGUAAAAAGCCUUAUUCUUGUUUAUUUUUGCUUCAUUAUUGGUAUUUGGUUGGACAAACUUAUUGUAUUUGGUACCUGUAAUUAACUGAGUAUUGAACAAAUGUAGUUUUUAUGCCAGUUACAUAUUGAGUACCAACUAAUACCAAAUAUAGUAUCAAUUCCAACUUAUCAUAAAAUUAUACGUAUCAUUAUUUGGAUUUGUAAAAAUUACCAGUACUAAUGUUUAGCAUCUUAUUUAAUUUAUUUUGUUUUUGGCAUCUUAUUUUAAAAUCUUUCCAAAGCAGUUCAGGCAAAAGGGAUUUCUUAAAUUAUCACAGGGCAGGUUUUGAGUGUAUGAUAGAUACCCUAAGACUACUUUUGUAAAAACUUCAAAUCAUGUGACUGACAAUUUUUAUCCACACAAAAUGAACAGAAUGCCUUCACGCUGAACAGUUUCAGUGUAGUUGUGUCUUCUAAGCUGCAUGACUGUGUUCCCUGAGAAGACCCUCUUCACGGCCAGGCUACCAGUAGAUAGAUGCCUGAGUUACCUGCAGUAGGUAGUCUGAAAAACAUCAAGAAAAGUGGAGCAGCAUAGAAAUGUUUACUAAGGCUGCUGUUCUUAUUGGCAGACAUUAACAGGAGCAAAAUAAAGUAGUUAUGUGUAUAUACCAGCACAAUUGUCACCCAUCAUAAUGGCCAUCAAGUAAGUUUCUUCUAAAGCAAGUAUUUCCAGCUCUAAAGGUGUUAGAUAGUUUAUUGCAUUUGUAAAAUCCUCAAAAAUUAUAUACCCUAUCUUGAAAGUGUGAAUUUUAGUGUUACUGCAGUUUAUGUACUACAUUACAUAUUUCUCCCAAAAAAAUAGGACUGCAAAAUCUAAUGGACAUCUAAUUCAUUCACACAAUCAUGUUUACAAAGGAAUUUAGAAACACUCAUUUCCCUUUGGAGAUUUUUAUUAUAUAUUAUUAUAUAUAAUUUUAUCCUUUCUUUAAUCUUGCAACUGAUAAACGAAUACUAUUUCCCAUAAUUCCAUCUGAGAAAAGAUUGUGGCCACAGUCAACAUUAAACCAGAAAAGUAAGAAAUUCUUGAUUGAGAUCAAACUUGUAUUAGAUUUAGUGAAGCCCAAAGCCCUCACAGGGUGCUAUUAUCACCAUGAUGGAUUUGUAUUGAUUCUGGGUUUGGUUCUCAGGCUUAGAAAUUGGGUUUUGUCAAAGCACCUCAUGUAUAUGUGUUUUUUAAAGAUAUUUAUUUGAGGCCGGCGCCGUGGCUCAAUAGGCUAAUCCUCCACCUUGCGGCGCCGGCACACCGGGUUCUAGUCCCGGUUGGGGUGCCGGAUUCUGUCCCGGUUGCCCCUCUUCCAGGCCAGCUCUCUGCUAUGGCCAGGGAGUGCAGUGGAGGAUGGCCCAGGUGCUUGGGCCCUGCACCCCAUGGGAGACCAGGAAAAGCACCUGGCUCCUGGCUCCUGCCAUCGGAUCAGCGCGGUGCGCCGGCUGCAGCGGCGGCCAUUGGAGGGUGAACCAACGGCAAAAGGAAGACCUUUCUCUUUCUGUCUCUCUCUCUCACUGUCCACUCUGCCUGUCAAAAAAAAAAAAAAGAUAUUUAUUUGAAAAGUAGAACGAAAGAGAGAUACACAGAUCUUUCAGACAUUGGUUCAGUCCCCAAAUGCCCAGGCUAAAGCUGGGGAACUCAUCUAGGCUUCCAACAUGGGUGGCAGGGACCCAAGUACAUGGGCCGUUAUCUGCUGCUGGGUGAAACAUAGAAUAGCCUAGGACUCCCAAGUGGAGGCUCAGCUUCCUGUGCCUUAAUGUCUGCCCCAUACAUGUGUAUUUCUCAUGACCCUGAUUUUAAAUCCAGAACUGAAGAAAAUGUUAUUGAUUGCUUACCAAAUGCAAUCAGUACCUUCUCUCUCUUUGCCAAGCUGUGGUAAGGUGAUUGAUGAUCAUGGAAUCAGAGCAAGUUGUGUUCUUGAAUCCAUUUUAAAAAGUAAUUUUUCAUUUUUGAAAACUUUUAGACAAAAGUGCCAAUAGUAAGGUAAAACAGCUUUUAGACAAAAACAUGGCAUAAUUUUGUAAACAAAUUUAAAACCUAUUCAAAGUUAGCUAGACCAAAUUAAUGAAAAUAUCUAGUUAUUAGGUGGUAAAAUGCCUUAUUUUUGUAUAUUUUUGCUUCAGUAUUGGUAUUUGGUUGUAUGAACUUAUUGUAUUUGGUACCUGUGAUAAACUGAGUAUUAAACAAAUGUAGUUACACCAGUUACAUACCAAAUAUAGUGUCUAUUCCAAUUUAUCAUAAAAUUAUACGUAUCAUUAUUUGGAUUUGUAAAAAUUACCAGUACCAAUGUUUAGCAUCUUAUUUAUUUUGUGGGUUUUUUGGCAUUGUAGAGUUUAUUGUCUAACCCAUGACACUUCUGAGAGUGCUAAAAUGAUAAACCAGAUGGUACUUCAAGACAACAGAUAUAAACUACAUCCGGAUAUAUGGUCAACCUAGCCAUGACUAUCGUACAAUGUGAUAAUGUAAUAACAGAAGUUUAACGGUGCAGUGAAAACAUGUUGAAUGUAAUGCACUGAAGUGUGAAAUUUUGUUUCUUAUCUAAAGCAUUUCUAAAUUUAAUUUCCAAUUGGUAUCCAUUCUGUUAGGCUGGGCAACUUUAUAUCAUACCACACAGUCCUCUUCUAGCAUCUUAGCAUCUACGAGAUUCCUGUAAAGGAUCUCAUUUUGCAGUUUGUUCAACCAUAAGGAACUGAGUAUCAGAAAUCUCUAAAAAAAACCUAUGGAAAUACUUAAUUGGCAAUAAUAUUGCUAAAAUGAAAACUAUAAAUAAUGUAUACCUUUUAUUAUACUUACUCUGGUAAGGGUUGUGUUUUCCUUAAUUCAUUUACACUCCACAAGUAUACUCUGAGGAAACAAAUGGCUUUAUUUAUCCAUUCUGUGAAGAAGUUAUUGAAUAACCAAAAGCCCAUCCUAAAACCGAUUAUAUACCACUUUCCUAUUCUGUGAAAUAAUGACAAGUGACUUAUUUUCUCAUAAGUAGAUUGCCUUCAUAUUGUUGUAUCCAUGAAAAUUAUUAUUUGUUGUCGUAUCAAUUGCAGUAUUGUGAAUAAACACAAAAAGCAGAUUUCAUAUUUAAAAUGGCAUUUAGGAACAGUUAAGGUGCCACUUAGGAUGCCUAUGUCUUGUAUCAGAGUGCUGGGUUGAGUCCCGGUUCUAGCUCUCAAUUUCAGCUUCCUGCUAAUGUGAACUCUGGCAGGCAGCAGGUGAUGGCCUAAGUACUUGGGUCCCAGCCACCCAUAUGGAAAGAUAGAUAGAAAGAAGAUAGAAAAUCUCUCUGUCUCUCUCGAACUUACAAAUAAUUUUUAAAAUAGAGACAGAACAAAAGGACAAAUUCUUUCUCUGUCUUUAAAAAAAAAAAAAAAGAAGAUAAUCUGCCCAGCAUUGUGGCAUAGCAUUGUGAUGCAGCAGGUUUAAGACAUUGCUGACAUCCUAUAUGGGUGCCGAUUUGAGUCCCUCUGCUUCACUUCCAAUCCAGCUCCCUGCUCAUGUGCCUGGGAAAGCAACAGAGGAUGCCUCAAGUGCUUGGGCCCCAACCACAUGUGGAAGACUUGGAUGGAAUUCCAGGCUCCUGGCUUCAGCCUGGGCCAAGUAAACCAUGGAUGAAAGAUCUUUCUCUUUCUCUUUCUGUCUUUCCCUCUCUUUCUCUCUGUAACUCUUUCAAAUAAACAAAUCAUUUUUAAAAGUAAAAUGACAUUUAAUAUAACAUUUUUAUAUUCUUGGUCACAGAGCUAUUUAAAUACUGUAUUAUAUAAUGUUUAACAUAAUUAAAUUAUUUUGGCAAUUCUUUAUAGAUCCCUUCUACAGUUAACACAUUCGCACUGCAUUUACUCAUUACGUUGCUGUAUUUUGCUAUGAAUUUCAGGUUACUUAUAUUCUGCAGAAAGUUAACUGAAAUAUCUACUGAGGAAGAAAAUGUAUCACUUUAAAUAUACCAAAUCAAAUGGAUGUCGAUCUAGCUUUGUUCUGUGGAUAAGAAAAAUGUUUGGCCGGCACCGCAGCUCACUUGGCUAAUCCUCUACCUGCGGCACCGGUACCCUGCGUUCUAGUCCCAGUUGAGGUGCCGGGUUCUGUCCCGGUUGCUCCUCUUCUAGUCCAGCUCUCUGCUGUGGCCCGGGAAGGCAGUGAAGGAUGGCCCAAGUGCUAGGGCCCUACACCCGCAUGGGAGACCAGAAGAAAGCACCUGGCUCCUGGCUUCGGAUCCGUAGUGUCAGCCGUAUCAGCCAUUAAGGGAGUGAACCAAUGGAAAGAAGACCUUUCUCUCUGUCUCUCUGUCUCUCUAACUCUGCCUGUAAAAAAAAAAAAAAAAAAAAAAAAAAAAAAAAAAAAAACAA